UUAGUUUGUUAUUAAUUUGAUUUAUAUGUAAAUUUUUGUGAGAAUAUUUAAUAAUUUUAAAAAUUAUUAAUUUUUAAAUAGCCGCAGUAAUUAAUUUUAUUAAUUAAAGAAAUUUAGAAAUAGUAAUAUUAAAGAGUAUAGAUAAAAUUGGUGCCAGCAAUCGCGGUUAUACCAAUUAUACAAAUAAAUUUUAUUAGAAAAAGUUAAAUUGUUUUAUAUUAAAUUAUAUUAAAUUUAUUAAGUGAAAUUUUAAAUUUAAAAAUUUUAUAAAAAUUAUAAUUGAAGCUUGAAAAUUUUAAUAAA
This 303-nucleotide ribosomal RNA is filed under the name Drosophila melanica. Its description in RNAcentral is "partial 12S ribosomal RNA". Lineage: Eukaryota; Metazoa; Arthropoda; Insecta; Diptera; Drosophilidae. The record is from RNAcentral.